GGGUCCAUAGCUCAGCCUGGUCGGAGCACUUGGCUCUUAACCAAGGGGUCGGGGGUUCAAAUCCCUCUGGAUCCG
Molecule: transfer RNA, 75 nt
Filed under: Nanobdellota archaeon
Lineage: Archaea; Nanobdellati; Nanobdellota
Description: tRNA-Lys
Rfam family: tRNA
About the family: Transfer RNA (tRNA) molecules are approximately 80 nucleotides in length. Their secondary structure includes four short double-helical elements and three loops (D, anti-codon, and T loops). Further hydrogen bonds mediate the characteristic L-shaped molecular structure. tRNAs have two regions of fundamental functional importance: the anti-codon, which is responsible for specific mRNA codon recognition, and the 3' end, to which the tRNAs corresponding amino acid is attached (by aminoacyl-tRNA synthetases). tRNAs cope with the degeneracy of the genetic code in two manners: having more than one tRNA (with a specific anti-codon) for a particular amino acid; and 'wobble' base-pairing, i.e. permitting non-standard base-pairing at the 3rd anti-codon position.
Source: RNAcentral